This 813-nucleotide small RNA is filed under the name Pongo abelii (Sumatran orangutan). RNAcentral describes it as "retained intron". Lineage: Eukaryota; Metazoa; Chordata; Mammalia; Primates; Hominidae. The record is from RNAcentral.
AGGGCCCCCUGCUCAGCCCCCUGGCCCGCCCAACGCCUCUAGUAACCCCGACCUCAGGAGGAGCGACCCUGGCUGGGAACGCUCGGACAGCGUCCUUCCGGCCUCUCACGGGCACCUCCCCCAGGCUGGCUCACUGGAGCGGAACUGCGUGGGAGCCUCCUCCAAACUGGACAGCUCCCCAGUGCUCUCCCCUGGGAAUAAAGCCAAGCCCGAUGACCACCGCUCACGGCCAGGCCGGCCCGCAGUGAGUCGCCUGGUGGCAGCGUGGCCUGCCUCAUCCUGGUUUGGGGCUUAGCCCCAGGGUGCUGGGUGUCAGGGGUGGGGUCUCCGCUGAUCUACUGAGAAGGGCUGUGGGGAUGGAGGGACUGGUGCUUCUCAUGGUACUAACCUUUUCUAACCUCUCUCCUAACCUCUGUCCUGGCCCUUUCUUCCCCUGCGGCCCCUCCCAGAGCUAUAAGCGAGCAAUUGGUGAGGUUAGUGAGAUGGGCCUGCUUGUGGGAGCCCCUCCUGUCACCUGCUGGGGUGUCCCGGCACCCUUUGUUUACCUCCACCCAGGCCCACCUUCUCGCUGCCCCUCACGGGGCUCCUCCCUGCAGGACUUCGUGUUGCUGAAGGAGCGGACCCUGGACGAGGCCCCUCGGCCUCCCAAGAAGGCCAUGGACUACUCAUCGUCCAGCGAGGAGGUGGAAAGCAGUGAGGAGGACGAGGAGGAAGGCGAAGGCGGGCCAGCAGAGGGGAGCAGAGACACCCCUGGGGGCCGGUACGGCAUCGGGAGUGGGGCCCUCCCACUCCAAGGCACAGGGAGGGAGGGGA